UAGGGAAUCUUCGGCAAUGGACGGAAGUCUGACCGAGCAACGCCGCGUGAGUGAAGAAGGUUUUCGGAUCGUAAAGCUCUGUUGUAAGAGAAGAACGAGUGUGAGAGUGGAAAGUUCACGCUGUGACGGUAUCUUACCAGAAAGGGACGGCUAACUAUGUGCCAGCAGCCGCGGUAAUACGUAGGUCCCGAGCGUUGUCCGGAUUUAUUGGGCGUAAAGCGAGCGCAGGCGGUUAGAUAAGUCUGAAGUUAAAGGCUGUGGCUUAACCAUAGUACGCUUUGGAAACUGUUUAACUUGAGUGCAAGAGGGGAGAGUGGAAUUCCAUGUGUAGCGGUGAAAUGCGUAGAUAUAUGGAGGAACACCGGUGGCGAAAGCGGCUCUCUGGCUUGUAACUGACGCUGAGGCUCGAAAGCGUGGGGAGCAAACAGGAUUAGAUACCCUGGUAGUCCACGCCGUAAACGAUGAGUGCUAGGUGUUAGACCCUUUCCGGGGUUUAGUGCCGCAGCUAACGCAUUAAGCACUCCGCCUGGGGAGUACGACCGCAAGGUUG
This 550-nucleotide ribosomal RNA is filed under the name uncultured bacterium. RNAcentral describes it as "bacterial SSU rRNA". It matches the Rfam family "Bacterial small subunit ribosomal RNA", at positions 355 to 896 of the family's 1533-position model. The record is from RNAcentral.